Molecule: ribosomal RNA, 253 nt
Filed under: uncultured bacterium
Lineage: Bacteria
Description: partial 16S ribosomal RNA
Rfam family: Bacterial small subunit ribosomal RNA
Source: RNAcentral
UACGUAGGUGGCAAGCGUUAUCCGGAUUUACUGGGUGUAAAGGGCGUGUAGGCGGGGACGCAAGUCAGAUGUGGAAACCACGGGCUCAACCUGUGGCCUGCAUUUGAAACUGUGUUUCUUGAGUACUGGAGAGGCAGACGGAAUUCCUAGUGUAGCGGUGAAAUGCGUAGAUAUUAGGAGGAACACCAGUGGCGAAGGCGGUCUGCUGGACAGCAACUGACGCUGAGGCGCGAAAGCGUGGGGAGCAAACAGG